GCGCUCACUUCGGCAGCACAUGUGCUAAAACUGGAACGAUACAGAGAUUAGCAAGGCCCCUGCACAAGGAUGACACGCAAAUUUGUGAAGUGUUCCAUGUUUUU
Small nuclear RNA from Globicephala melas (long-finned pilot whale), 104 nucleotides. The record is from RefSeq and is a predicted model, not a curated record. Lineage: Eukaryota; Metazoa; Chordata; Mammalia; Artiodactyla; Delphinidae.